This 253-nucleotide ribosomal RNA is filed under the name uncultured bacterium. RNAcentral describes it as "partial 16S ribosomal RNA". It matches the Rfam family "Bacterial small subunit ribosomal RNA", at positions 524 to 776 of the family's 1533-position model. The record is from RNAcentral.
GACGGAGGAUGCAAGCGUUAUCCGGAAUCACUGGGCGUAAAGCGUCUGUAGGUGGUUUAAUAAGUCUACUGUUAAAUCUUGAGGCUCAACCUCAAAAUCGCAGUCGAAACUAUUAGGCUAGAGUAUAGUAGGGGUAAAGGGAAUUUCCAGUGGAGCGGUGAAAUGCGUAGAGAUUGGAAAGAACACCGAUGGCGAAGGCACUUUACUGGGCUAUUACUGACACUCAGAGACGAAAGCUAGGGUAGCAAAUGGG